GCCGAACUGUCCUAACGUUGUUCGGAAUCACUGGGCUUAAAGGGCGCGUAGGCGGUCCGACAAGUCAGGGGUGAAAUCCUGCAGCUUAACUGCAGAAGUGCCUUUGAUACUGUCGGUCUGGAGGGAGAUAGGGGUGUGCGGAACUCACAGUGGAGCGGUGAAAUGCGUUGAUAUUGUGAGGAACGCCGGAGGCGAAAGCGGCGCACUGGAUCUCUUCUGACGCUGAGGCGCGAAAGCUAGGGGAGCAAACGGG
This 253-nucleotide ribosomal RNA is filed under the name uncultured bacterium. RNAcentral describes it as "partial 16S ribosomal RNA". It matches the Rfam family "Bacterial small subunit ribosomal RNA", at positions 524 to 776 of the family's 1533-position model. The record is from RNAcentral.